AGAUCAGAAGCGAGAAUGUUGACAUGGGUAGCGACAAACAGGGUGAGAAACCCUGUCGCCGAAAGUCAAAGGGUUCCUGCUUAAAGCUAAUCUGAGCAGGGUAAGCCGGCCCCUAAGGCGAGGCCGAAAGGCGUAGUCGAUGGGAACCAGGUUAAUAUUCCUGGGCCAGUGGGAUGUGACGGAUCGCAGAUGUAGUUUGCCCUUAUCGGAUUGGGUGGGCUGCUGAGCGGUUCCAGGAAAUAGCCCCACAUCAGACCGUACCCUAAACCGACACAGGUGGACUGGUAGAGUAUACCAAGGCGCUUGAGAGAACCACGUUAAAGGAACUCGGCAAAAUGCCUCCGUAAGUUCGCGAGAAGGAGGCCCCAUAUGUACGCAAGUAUGUGUGGGGGGCACAAACUAGGGGGUGGCGACUGUUUACUUAAAACACAGGGCUGUGCGAAGCCGUAAGGCGACGUAUACAGUCUGACGCCUGCCCGGUGCUGGAAGAUUAAGAGGAGGGGUGCAAGCUCUGAAUUGAAGUCCCAGUAAACGGCGGCCGUAACAAUAACGGUCCUAAGGUAGCGAAAUUCCUUGUCGGGUAAGUUCCGACCUGCACGAAUGGCGUAACGAUCUCCCCGCUGUCUCUAACGUGGACUCAGCGAAAUUGAACUGUGUGUCAAGAUGCACACUACCCGCGGUUAGACGGAAAGACCCCAUGAACCUUUACUCCAGCUUUGCACUGGUAUCAGGAUUGUGAUGUGCAGGAUAGGUGGUAGGCAUUGAAGCGGGGACGCCAGUCUUCGUGGAGCCUCCCUUGAGAUACCACCCUUCGCCAUCUUGAUAUCUAACCGCGGCCCGUUAUCCGGGUCCGGGACCCUGCAUGGUGGGGAGUUUGACUGGGGCGGUCGCCUCCCAAACAGUAACGGAGGCGCGCGAUGGUUGGCUCAGACCGGUCGGAAAUCGGUCGUUGAGUGCAAUGGCAGAAGCCAGCCUGACUGCAAGACUGACAAGUCGAGCAGAGACGAAAGUCGGUCAUAGUGAUCCGGUGGUCCCAAGUGGGAGGGCCAUCGCUCAACGGAUAAAAGGUACUCUGGGGAUAACAGGCUGAUGAUGCCCAAGAGUCCAUAUCGACGGCAUCGUUUGGCACCUCGAUGUCGGCUCAUCUCAUCCUGGGGCUGGAGCAGGUCCCAAGGGUAUGGCUGUUCGCCAUUUAAAGAGGUACGUGAGCUGGGUUUAGAACGUCGUGAGACAGUUCGGUCCCUAUCUGCCGUGGGUGCAGGAGACUUGAGAAGAGUUGACCCUAGUACGAGAGGACCGGGUUGAACGAACCACUGGUGGACCAGUUAUCGUGCCAACGGUAGUGCUGGGUAGCUAUGUUCGGACAGGAUAACCGCUGAAGGCAUCUAAGCGGGAAGCCCCCUUCAAAGCAAGGUCUCCCUUGAGGGCCGUGGAAGACGACCACGUCGAUAGGCCAGAGGUGUAAGUGCAGCAAUGCAUUCAGCUGACUGGUACUAAUUGCCC
RNAcentral lists this ribosomal RNA (1503 nucleotides) under metagenome. Its description in RNAcentral is "bacterial LSU rRNA". It matches the Rfam family "Bacterial large subunit ribosomal RNA", at positions 1279 to 2910 of the family's 2925-position model. The record is from RNAcentral.